ACUCCUACGGGAGGCAGCAGUGGGGAAUUUUGGACAAUGGGCGGAAGCCUGAUCCAGCCAUGCCGCGUGAGUGAAGAAGGCCUUCGGGUUGUAAAGCUCUUUCGGCGGGGAAGAAAUUGCUUGGGUUAAUACCCUGAGUAGAUGACGUACCCGAAUAAGAAGCACCGGCUAACUACGUGCCAGCAGCCGCGGUAAUU
RNAcentral lists this ribosomal RNA (197 nucleotides) under uncultured Pseudomonadota bacterium. RNAcentral's name for it is "uncultured proteobacterium partial 16S ribosomal RNA". It matches the Rfam family "Bacterial small subunit ribosomal RNA", at positions 335 to 525 of the family's 1533-position model. Lineage: Bacteria; Pseudomonadati; Pseudomonadota. The record is from RNAcentral.